CUGUGUUAAAACCACUCAGGUUGAGCAUGGGGAAGCUCAGCCGGUACAAGUGGUAGUCAGUGUUCCCCUGACAGUAUAAUUUUUAUGGUGUUUGUUUUAUCAAACAUAAAUGUGCAACUUGACUGCCACAAACUUCCAGAAAGAAAAAAAACACAAAGAUAUCAUCGCAGAACAUAAAAUAAGAUCUUGUGUGACUUGGACUUCUCACAGAUCUUCCUUUACCUGGGCUGCUGCACUGCCAUCCUGCUCUGCAAUGCUCUAAAUCCCCUUUGAAGACGCUGAG
RNAcentral lists this long non-coding RNA (283 nucleotides) under Homo sapiens (human). Its description in RNAcentral is "HSALNT0163758". The record is from RNAcentral. Lineage: Eukaryota; Metazoa; Chordata; Mammalia; Primates; Hominidae.